CAGAGGAGAAAUGAUUCAUUUGCCUGGCUUCUUGGGAAGCGAGAGCUUCUAGAAGAUGAAUCAAUUUUGUGAGGACUUGGCCAAUAUCAAGAUCUUCAGCACGACUCAUCAGCUCGUUGCUAAUCCAAGGACAACAAAUAACUACAAAUGCUGAGCCUGACAUUGCUGUUGGAAUUCAGCCACCCUGAAAGCCUCUGCACCCCGAGCUUUCUCCAAUUUCUGGGAUGGUACAGUGAUGGCAGGGCUUAAGAGUGCCCUAAGAAGGCCAGCUGCCUUCAAAAACAAGCUCCUUGAAGAUGUAGGUGUCACAUAAAAGCAAAAAACAAAAACUCUCCACAAUUUGGGGUGUUCAGGAAAUGUUGAUUAAUCACAUUUUUUAAAUUAUAAGAGACUGCUGGAUGUGGUUGCUCACUCCUGUAAUCCCAGCACUUUAGGAGGCCAAAGUGAGAGGAUUGCUUAAGCCCAGAAGUUCAAGACCAGCCUGGGCAACAUGGCGAAACCUCACCUCUACAAAAAUAUCUAAAAAUUAGCCAGGUGUGGUGGUGUACACCUAUAGUCCCAGCUACUUGGGAGGCUGAGGUGGGAGGAUUCCUUGAGCCCAGGA
Molecule: long non-coding RNA, 604 nt
Filed under: Piliocolobus tephrosceles (Ugandan red Colobus)
Lineage: Eukaryota; Metazoa; Chordata; Mammalia; Primates; Cercopithecidae
Description: lncRNA (ENSPTEG00000000030.1)
Source: RNAcentral